AGUGAACGCUGGCGGUAGGCCUAACACAUGCAAGUCGAACGGCAGCACAGUAAGAGCUUGCUCUUACGGGUGGCGAGUGUCGGACGGGUGAGGAAUACAUCGGAAUCUACCUUUUCGUGGGGGAUAACGCAGGGAAACUUACGCUAAUACCGCAUACGACCUACGGGUGAAAGCAGGGGAUCUUCGGACCUUGCGCGAUUGAAUGAGCCGAUGUCGGAUUAGCUAGUUGGCGGGGUAAAGGCCCACCAAGGCGACGAUCCGUAGCUGGUCUGAUAGGAUGAUCAGCCGCACUGGAACUGGGACACGGUCCAGACUCCUACGGGAGGCAGCAGUGGGGAAUAGUGGACAAUGGGCGCAAGCCUGAUCCAGCCAUACCGCGUGGGUGAAGAAGGCCUUCGGGUUGUAAAGCCCUUUUGUUGGGAAAGAAAAGCAGCAGGUUAAUACCCCGCUGUUCUGACGGUACCCAAAGAAUAAGCACGGGCUAACUUCGUG
RNAcentral lists this ribosomal RNA (492 nucleotides) under uncultured bacterium. RNAcentral's name for it is "partial 16S ribosomal RNA". It matches the Rfam family "Bacterial small subunit ribosomal RNA", at positions 29 to 507 of the family's 1533-position model. The record is from RNAcentral.